This 389-nucleotide ribosomal RNA is filed under the name uncultured fungus. Its description in RNAcentral is "partial small subunit ribosomal RNA". It matches the Rfam family "Eukaryotic small subunit ribosomal RNA", at positions 30 to 432 of the family's 1831-position model. The record is from RNAcentral. Lineage: Eukaryota; Fungi.
GCUUGUCUCAAAGAUUAAGCCAUGCAUGUUCAAGUAUAGCAAGUGUACAGUGAAACUGCGAAUGGCUCAUUAAAUCAGUUAUAAUUUAUUUGAUAGUGAAAUUGUACAUGGAUAACCGUGGCAAUUCUAGGGCUAAUACAUGCGUCAAUGGUCGGUCGACCAGUAUUUAUUAGAUAAAAAACCAAUCCGGCAACGGUGCUUGGUGAUUCAUAAUAACUGUUCGAAGCGCACGGCCUCGCGCCGGCGCUAGUUCAUUCAAAUUUCUGCCCUAUCAGCUUUCGACGGUAGUGUAGUGGACUACCGUGGCGCUAACGGGUGACGGAGAAUUAGGGUUCGGUUCCGGAGAGGGAGCCUGAGAAACGGCUACCACAUCCAAGGAAGGCAGCAGG